This 145-nucleotide small RNA is filed under the name Flavobacterium weaverense. Its description in RNAcentral is "Flavo-1 RNA". The record is from RNAcentral. Lineage: Bacteria; Pseudomonadati; Bacteroidota; Flavobacteriia; Flavobacteriales; Flavobacteriaceae.
GCCUAGCCCUGACUGCAGCGAAAAACGCAUGCCGGUAGCCAGCCGCUUUUUUCUGGUGGUUGCAGAGCGACUGCAAGAAGCUCCUGCAAGCGCCUAGAAAAAUCGUUGGCUACUAAAUGCUUUGUAGCGUAGGGCAGGAGUAGCU